AACCAGACUCCUACGGGAGGCAGCAGUGGGGAAUAUUGCACAAUGGGGGAAACCCUGAUGCAGCAACGCCGCGUGAGUGAAGAAGUAUUUCGGUAUGUAAAGCUCUAUCAGCAGGGAAGAAGAAAGACGGUACCUGACUAAGAAGCCCCGGCUAACUACGUGCCAGCAGCCGCGGUAAUACGUAGGGGGCAAGCGUUAUCCGGAUUUACUGGGUGUAAAGGGAGCGUAGACGGCCAGACAAGUCAGAAGUGAAAGCCCAGGGCUCAACUCUGGGACUGCUUUUGAAACUGCCGGGCUGGGGUGCAGGAGAGGUAAGCGGAAUUCCUAGUGUAGCGGUGAAAUGCGUAGAUAUUAGGAGGAACACCAGUGGCGAAGGCGGCUUACUGGACUGUAACUGACGUUGAGGCUCGAAAGCGUGGGGAGCAAACAGGAUUAGAUACCCCUGUA
Molecule: ribosomal RNA, 447 nt
Filed under: uncultured bacterium
Lineage: Bacteria
Description: bacterial SSU rRNA
Rfam family: Bacterial small subunit ribosomal RNA
Source: RNAcentral